GGCAAAAUGACUUAUUUGCUGAUAAGAUUUUGUUGUCAUUUGAGCAGAUGGUCGAGAAAUAUCGACUCCCAAAGCAGGACUUUUUCCGCUUCCUACAAGUAAGACAUUAUAUUCUGAAGAGCACCACCUUAAUUGGUAACCCUGAUGUGUCUGUCAUUGAAAGAAUGCUUUUUUUUCCCCACAAAGGAAAAUGUCUGUAAGUCUGUUUGAUGAUACUUUAAGGUCCUUUUCUGCUGUCAACACACAGAGGGUGAAACAAGUCUAUAAUUUUAAUGGUUUAUUUGAACAGUGAGAGAAUAGCAACAAAACAAUCCAGAAAAACGUCCAAAAAUGUUAUAAAUUGAUUGGUGGGCAAACGUACAAAAUCUGCAAGGGGAUCAUACUUUUUUCACACACUGUUUUCUGUAUGUCCCCCACACUAGAAUCCCCUUUAUACUGUAUAAAUAAAUAGAGAAAGGACUCAGGGACUAUGUGGAACAGGGAAGAGACUCAGGGACUAUGUGGAACAGGGAAGAGACUCAGGGACUAUGUGGAACAGGGAAGAGACUCAGGGACUAUGUGGAACAGGGAAGAGACUCAGGGACUAUGUGGAACAGGGAAGAGACUCAGGGACUAUGUGGAACAGGGAAGAGACUCAGGGACUAUGCUAAUUUGGUAUAGAGCAGACGUAACCCACUCUAUUAAAAUAGUCAAAACAGGAACAUUUUACAUUUCGCUUGAAAUUCAAGAGGAAAUUAUCUCAACGGAGGAAAAUGUCCUCCUGUGUGCUACCUAUAUCCCCCCACUAGAAUCCUCAUACUUUAAUGAAGACAGCUUCUCCAUCCUGGAGGGGGAAAUAAAUCAUUUCCAGGCCCAGGGACAUGUACUAGUCUGUGGCAACCUAAAUGCCAGGUCUGGACAAGAACCUGACACCCUCAGCACACAGGGGGACAAACACCUACCUGGAGGUGACAGCAUUCCCUCCCCCAUAUGCCCCCCUAGGCACAACUAUGACAACAUAACCAACAAAAACACGUCACAACUCCUGCAGCUCUGUUGCACGCUGGGUAUGUACAUAGUCAACGGUAGGCUUCGAGGGGACUCCUAUGGUAGGUACACCUAUAGCUCAUCUCUUGGCAGUAGUACUGUAGACUACUUUAUCACUGACCUCAACCCAGAGUCUCUCAGAGCGUUCACAGUCAGCCCACUGACACCCCUAUCAGACCACAGCAAAAUCACAGUCUACUUAAACAGAGCAAUACUCAAUCAUGAGGCAUCAAAGCCAAAGGAACUGAGUAACAUUAAGAAAUGCUAUAGAUGGAAGGAAUGUAGUUUGGAAACCUACCAAAAAACAAUUAGGCAACAACAAAUUCAAUCCCUUUCAGACAAUUUCCUGGGUAAAACGUUCCACUGUAAUAGUGAAGAUGUAAACUUGGCAGUAGAAAAUGUUAACAGUAUAUUUGACCUCAGCUUCCCUAUCAAAUGUAAAAAUCUCAAAAAGAAAACCAAAGAAAAUGAACAAUGACAAAUGGUUUGAUGAAG
RNAcentral lists this long non-coding RNA (1521 nucleotides) under Oncorhynchus kisutch (coho salmon). RNAcentral's name for it is "lncRNA (ENSOKIG00005023675.1)". The record is from RNAcentral. Lineage: Eukaryota; Metazoa; Chordata; Actinopteri; Salmoniformes; Salmonidae.